Molecule: long non-coding RNA, 596 nt
Organism: Scleropages formosus (Asian bonytongue)
Lineage: Eukaryota; Metazoa; Chordata; Actinopteri; Osteoglossiformes; Osteoglossidae
Exons: 3
Source: RefSeq, a predicted model, not a curated record
GAGGACCCCGAGGGUCCGUCAGUGUUUUUUUUUCUUCCAGUUAAGGACGUCAGUAUUUAAUGUUAAAGUGUGUGUGACCUUGACUUGCGGCGCCUGUGCAGACGGUUAGAUUGCUUUUGUGGGCAAUUCCACGCGCCGCCGACUGCGGACUCACACAGACGGUACAAAUCGAGAGCCAGAGGAAGUGGCUGCCCGGCGCUUCUCCCUCCAGUUGCUGCAUUUGCAAGCGACAAAGCAGAGGUUUUCUACGAGCCAGUUUAAGAGCACCGCCAAACCCUGGGGAUGUCGCACACCACAGCCGCGGCCCGCAGUUUGGCAGCGGACGAGAUCUCUGCCUGUCCCACCCCCCCGGGUGACGAAAGAUGCACGUCUGGAGCGAAGCAGCGGCCUUAACGAAUGCGAACACAUUCAACACUUCAUGCCAAUUACAGUCAUGAAAUUCCUCAUUCAAACCAUCUAUUAAUUGUAGGCUUAUCAUGCCUAUUAGUGUCGUCCUUAAUAUUCCGUAUUUUGAUUAGCAUAUGAUCCGCUGGAAAAAGCCGUUUUAUUAGAGCCAAUUAUAAUGAUGAAUGAAGAUUUCUCUGCCAAAAUUACAA